Long non-coding RNA from Passer montanus (Eurasian tree sparrow), 562 nucleotides. RefSeq lists it as uncharacterized. The record is from RefSeq and is a predicted model, not a curated record. NCBI's taxonomy places the organism in Eukaryota, Metazoa, Chordata, Aves, Passeriformes, Passeridae. The transcript is spliced from 4 exons.
CAGCUGCAUAAUCAGCAGAGAUUGGGAUCAGGUGCCUUUACAAUGGACUGAAAGGCAGAGAUGUCACUCCUGCAUCAGCAUUUGCCAGAUGAGGAAGGAAAGGACAGGAAACCAUGUUCUGGAUAAAACAGAGCCAGAGCAGGUUCAGAAGCACUGAAGAGGAGCGACUGACCCAAAAGAAAAGGAGAAGACAGCAAUCUGAGGUAAUGGAGGAGGAGAGGGGAGAAGAUGCUCUUCUUGGACAAGCUUGUGUGACCCGCAGGUGCCCUACAGAGCAGUGUUGAUGAGCUUCUGCUUUGCAAGGGAUGAGCUUUAACUGCAUUUUUCAGAGCCUGCCCUUCUAGAGGUGACAGGGAGCAACUGAUCUCAUCACCAUCCUUGAUUGCCAUUCUCUUUUGUGGAGGUAAGACUGUAAUCAUGUCUUCCCUUAGGCUUCUUUUCCUGUGACCCUUUCUCAGAGGGCACAUCUUUCUAAAUGUCUUUCUAUUUUUGCUGUCCCUUUCCAGCAUUUUCCUAAUUGCCUCUCUCUUGUUCACAGCAGCACUCAAAACUGGCUACAGCC